RNAcentral lists this ribosomal RNA (253 nucleotides) under uncultured bacterium. RNAcentral describes it as "partial small subunit ribosomal RNA". It matches the Rfam family "Bacterial small subunit ribosomal RNA", at positions 26 to 285 of the family's 1533-position model. The record is from RNAcentral.
AGGACGAACGCUGGCGGCGUGCUUAACACAUGCAAGUCGAGCGGAAAGGCCCUUCGGGGUACUCGAGCGGCGAACGGGUGAGUAACACGUGAGCAACCUGCCCUUAGCUUCGGGAUAGCUCCGGGAAACCGGAAUUAAUACCGAAUAUGACCAAGGCCGACAUCAGUCUUGGUGGAAAGUUUUUCGGCUAGGGAUGGACUCGCGGCCUAUCAGCUAGUUGGUGAGGUAACGCUCACCAAGGCAACGACGGGUA